UGGCCAGACUCCUACGGGAGGCAGCAGUGGGGAAUAUUGCACAAUGGGGGAAACCCUGAUGCAGCGACGCCGCGUGAGCGAUGAAGUAUUUCGGUAUGUAAAGCUCUAUCAGCAGGGAAGAAAAUGACGGUACCUGACUAAGAAGCCCCGGCUAACUACGUGCCAGCAGCCGCGGUAAUACGUAGGGGGCAAGCGUUAUCCGGAUUUACUGGGUGUAAAGGGGGCGCAGACGGCAGCGCAAGCCAGGAGUGAAAGCCCGGGGCCCAACCCCGGGACUGCUCUUGGAACUGCGCGGCUGGAGUGCAGGAGGGGCAGGCGGAAUUCCUGGUGUAGCGGUGAAAUGCGUAGAUAUCAGGAGGAACACCGGUGGCGAAGGCGGCCUGCUGGACUGCGACUGACGCUGAAGCACGAGAGCGUGGGUAGCGAACAGGAUUAGAUACCCCGGUAAG
This 449-nucleotide ribosomal RNA is filed under the name uncultured bacterium. Its description in RNAcentral is "partial 16S ribosomal RNA". It matches the Rfam family "Bacterial small subunit ribosomal RNA", at positions 328 to 793 of the family's 1533-position model. The record is from RNAcentral.